GUCUACGGCCAUACCACCCUGAAUGCACCCGAUCUCGUAUGAUCUUGGAAGCUAAGCAGGGUCGGGCCUGGUUAGUACUUGGAUGGGAGAUAUUAGGUAAUAGGAAAAA
RNAcentral lists this ribosomal RNA (109 nucleotides) under Chinchilla lanigera (long-tailed chinchilla). The record is from RNAcentral. Lineage: Eukaryota; Metazoa; Chordata; Mammalia; Rodentia; Chinchillidae.